RNAcentral lists this ribosomal RNA (406 nucleotides) under uncultured bacterium. Its description in RNAcentral is "partial 16S ribosomal RNA". It matches the Rfam family "Bacterial small subunit ribosomal RNA", at positions 30 to 526 of the family's 1533-position model. The record is from RNAcentral.
AUUGAACGCUGGCGGCAUGCCUAACACAUGCAAGUCGAACGAGUGGCGGACGGGUGAGUAAUGUCUGGGAAACUGCCCGAUGGAGGGGGAUAACUACUGGAAACGGUAGCUAAUACCGCAUACCAUCGGAUGUGCCCAUAUGGGAUUAGCUAGUUGGUGGGGUAACGGCUCACCAAGGCGACGAUCCAUAGCUGGUCUGAGAGGAUGACCAGCCACACUGGGACUGAGACACGGUCCAGACUCCUACGGGAGGCAGCAGUGGGGAAUAUUGGACAAUGGGCGCAAGCCUGAUGCAGCCAUGCCGCGUGUAUGAAGAAGGCCUUCGGGUUGUAAAGUACUUUCAGCGGGGAGGCGGUACUCGCAGAAGAAGCACCGGCUAACUACGUGCCAGCAGCCGCGGUAAUUC